This 73-nucleotide transfer RNA is filed under the name Trialeurodes vaporariorum (greenhouse whitefly). Its description in RNAcentral is "tRNA-Gly for anticodon ACC". It matches the Rfam family "tRNA". From Rfam's summary of the family: Transfer RNA (tRNA) molecules are approximately 80 nucleotides in length. The record is from RNAcentral. Lineage: Eukaryota; Metazoa; Arthropoda; Insecta; Hemiptera; Aleyrodidae.
GCCUCGGUGGCCUAGUAGUCAGGGCAUCUGACUACCAAUCUAUAGGUCCCGGGUUCGAAUCCUGGUAGAGGCA